GGAGAGGUGGCUCAGAGGUUAUGAGCACUGGAUGCUUUUCUGGAGGUCCUGGGUUCAAUUCCCAGCAACUACA
Molecule: transfer RNA, 73 nt
Filed under: Rattus norvegicus (Norway rat)
Lineage: Eukaryota; Metazoa; Chordata; Mammalia; Rodentia; Muridae
Rfam family: tRNA
About the family: Transfer RNA (tRNA) molecules are approximately 80 nucleotides in length. Their secondary structure includes four short double-helical elements and three loops (D, anti-codon, and T loops).
Source: Rfam by way of RNAcentral